GCAUAUCAAUAAGCGGAGGAAAAGAAACCAACAGGGAUUGCCCCAGUAACGGCGAGUGAAGCGGCAACAGCUCAAAUUUGAAAUCUGGCUCUCAGGGCCCGAGUUGUAAUUUGUAGAGGAUGCUUUUGGCGAGGUGCCUUCCGAGUUCCCUGGAACGGGACGCCACAGAGGGUGAGAGCCCCGUAUGGUCGGACACCGAGCCUCUGUAAAGCUCCUUCGACGAGUCGAGUAGUUUGGGAAUGCUGCUCAAAAUGGGAGGUAUAUGUCUUCUAAAGCUAAAUAUUGGCCAGAGACCGAUAGCGCACAAGUAGAGUGAUCGAAAGAUGAAAAGCACUUUGAAAAGAGGGUUAAAAAGUACGUGAAAUUGUUGAAAGGGAAGCGCCUAUGACCAGACUUGCGCCCGGUGAAUCACCCAGCGUUCUCGCUGGUGCACUUUGCCGGGCACAGGCCAGCAUCAGUUCAGCGCGGGGGAGAAAGGCUUCGGGAAUGUGGCUCCCUCGGGAGUGUUAUAGCCCGCUGCGUAAUGCCCUGCGCCGGACUGAGGUACGCGCAUUGCAAGGAUGCUGGCGUAAUGGUCAUCAGCGACCCGUCUUGAAACACGGACCAAGGAGUCGUCUUCGUAUGCGAGUGUUCGGGUGUCAAACCCCUACGCGUAAUGAAAGUGAACGUAGGUGAGAGCUUCGGCGCAUCACCGACCGAUCCUGAUGUUCUCGGAUGGAUUUGAGUAAGAGCAUACGGGGCCGGACCCGAAAGAAGGUGAACUAUGCCUGUAUAGGGUGAAGCCAGAGGAAACUCUGGUGGAGGCUCGCAGCGGUUCUGACGUGCGAAUCGAUCGUCAAAUAUGGGCAUGGGGGCGAAAGACUAAUCGAACCUUCUAGUAGCUGGUUUCCGCCGAAG
This 897-nucleotide ribosomal RNA is filed under the name Beauveria sp. RNAcentral describes it as "partial large subunit ribosomal RNA". It matches the Rfam family "Eukaryotic large subunit ribosomal RNA", at positions 38 to 966 of the family's 3401-position model. The record is from RNAcentral. Lineage: Eukaryota; Fungi; Ascomycota; Sordariomycetes; Hypocreales; Cordycipitaceae.